GCCAGACUCCUACGGGAGGCAGCAGUGAGGAAUAUUGGUCAAUGGGCGGAAGCCUGAACCAGCCAAGUCGCGUGAGGGAAUAAGGCCCUACGGGUCGUAAACCUCUUUUGCCGGGGAGCAAGGGCGGGCACGUGUCCCGGCCCGGAGAGUACCCGGAGAAAAAGCAUCGGCUAACUCCGUGCCAGCAGCCGCGGUAAUACGGAGGACGCGAGCGUUAUCCGGAUUUAUUGGGUUUAAAGGGUGCGUAGGCGGGCUUUUAAGUCAGGGGGAAAAAUUGGGGGCUCAACCCCGUCCGGGCGUUGAAACUGGGGGCCUUGAGUGGGCGAGAAGGAGGCGGAAUGCGUGGGGUAGCGGGGAAAUG
Molecule: ribosomal RNA, 361 nt
Filed under: uncultured bacterium
Lineage: Bacteria
Description: bacterial SSU rRNA
Rfam family: Bacterial small subunit ribosomal RNA
Source: RNAcentral